UCUAUAUAUAUUAAGAAGUAAAAAAAUUAUUUUUGAAAUGUAUUUUUUUAGUAGAGUGAAUCGAAAUAUUUUAUAAUAAAUUAUAGACUAAAGUACUGUAAAGGAAAGAUGAAAUAAUUUGAAAAAUGUAUUAAUAAAAAGUAAAGUUAAAUUCUUGUACCUUGUGUAUUAGGGAAAAUCAAAAUAAUCUUAUUAUUUAAAGAAAUCCCGAAAGAAAAAGAGCUAUUAUAAAUAUAUAGUUUUCGUAUUAAUGAAAUUAUCAAAUUUAUACUAGUAGUGAAAUGCUAAUCGUUUUUUCAUAUCUGGUUAUUGGUGAAUUAAAUUUAAUUUGAUUAUAUUGAGGUAAUCAAAAGCUUUAAUAUAAUAAAGAAUAGGAGGGAAAAGCUUCUUGUUCUAACAUAGGUGUGUUAUGAUAUAAUGAAUAAUUAUUUUAUUGAAUUAGGCUUAAAAACAGCUAUAUUAAUAAAACGUUCUAGUUAAUAUAAUUUUUCUUUAUUAUUUUAAUAAAAUGAAUCUAACUUGUAGUAGCCAAUAUUUAUGUUAAGUAAAAUACCAUAAGUUAUAAUGAUUUUAUUAGUAGAAAUACAUUUGUGUAAAUAGAUAACAUUAAAUAAUCUAUAUAUUUUUAUUUUUUUUUAGGUAUAAUUAAGGAACUCGGCAAAUACUACUUUUGCCUGUUUAUCAAAAACAUGUCUAUAUGAUUGUUAUAUAAAGUCUAGCCUGCCCACUGAAUUAUUUUUAAAGGGCCGCGGUAUACUGACCGUGCGAAGGUAGCAUAAUCAUUAGUCUUUUAAUUGAAGGCUUGUAUGAAUGGUUGGACAAAAAGUAAUCUGUCUCAGUUAUAAUAGUUGAACUUAACUUUUAAGUGAAAAGGCUUAAAUACUUUAAGGGGACGAUAAGACCCUAUAAAACUUAACAAUAAUUUGAUUAAAUUAUAAAUUGUUAGUAUAACUUGAUUUUAAUUAAUGUUUGUUGCGUUGGGGCGACGGGAAUAUAAUUAGUAACUGUUCUUAAAUAUUUUAUUAACAAGUAUAAUUGAAGAAUAAUUGAUCCUUUAUUAAAGAUUAAAAGAUUAAGUUACUUUAGGGAUAACAGCGUAAUCUUCUUUGAGAGUCCUCAUCGACAAGAAGGUUUGCGACCUCGAUGUUGAAUUAAGGUAUCCUUAUAAUGCAGCAGUUAUAAAGGAAGGUCUGUUCGACCUUUAAAUCCUUACAUGAUUUGAGUUCAGACCGGCGUGAGCCAGGUCGGUUUCUAUCUCUUAAUUUUAUUAUAAUUACUUUAGUACGAAAGGAUUAAGUAGUUAAAAUAAUUUUAUUUAUAUGAUU
This 1325-nucleotide ribosomal RNA is filed under the name Penaeus monodon (black tiger shrimp). RNAcentral describes it as "16S ribosomal RNA". The stretch from base 628 to 1325 matches the Rfam family "Archaeal large subunit ribosomal RNA", at positions 1423 to 2793 of the family's 2987-position model. Lineage: Eukaryota; Metazoa; Arthropoda; Malacostraca; Decapoda; Penaeidae. The record is from RNAcentral.